AUGCCAUAAUGGCAUAAUCCCUUCCCAUUUCCCAUGCUGAGGAUGCUCUAACCUUGUUGUAUCAGAUUAUCAUUUUCUUUAAGCAAAGAAAAACCCAGCUUUUCAAUAUUGCAUAUGCUUCACAGAAAAUGCUAGGUUCCUUCCUAUUCUUUUUCCUCUAUCUUCACCAUUUUCACUCCUUCUCUCUAAUGUGAAAGUAAUCUAAAGAUAUGGGGGGACCCCCUUACCCCCCUCCCUUAGUUUGAACAAUUUUGUGAUAAGAGAGUACCUUCUAUUCCAAACUCUUUGUCCCUUGUAAGCAAAUGAGUGUCUCAGAAGAUAUUAAUGUACAGACAAUAAGGCAUAGGUAAGAGUACCCUUAGCACAAAACAGGUAUACAUAGUUCCUUUAAAUCUGACAUUUUGUUUGGUAAAUGUCAAUUCUCAUUUACAUAAGCCUUUUAGCUUAAUUCCACAUCAUGGUUAAUUCAUUACUCAAAUUAUAUAUGUAAGGUGGGUGGAUAUAGAAGACUAGCAACUCUAGUCCUUUUCUUUAUCCAAAAAUUUGUUGCCUACCAUGACCAACUCACCUGCAUAGGAUAGCUAAAUUGGUGAAAAUUUUGUGAUAUGUUAGACAUAAAUUACUGUUAUUUUCUUCACUGUGGUUCAUACUUGGAAGCCUAUGCUUGUCGGUGUGUAGAAAAUGGAUAGAGAUAGCGAGAGAGAGAGUAGAGUCUUAGUGUCAAUGUCAUUCAUGAUAAUUUGGUAAAUCAUGGACUAUUUGUUAGAACAGUGAAAUCAAUGUUACCACCUUUUAGUUUAGCCAUAACAACCUAUCUUAUUCCUUAGUACUUUGUUUUGGCCUCAUAACUUGUUGUCUAAGUUUUUAUGUUGAUGAUAAAACACUUUCCACACCAUAAUGAAACUACAUUACAAUCUUAAAGCAUACCUAAUCUCGAACCCAUGCAAACAAAUUAUGCUUGGAGCACUAAUCUCUUUGGAUUUAGCUUUCAAGACAUCAAUAGAUUUUGUAUACUAAUACUUUGUUUGGAAUCGAGAGCAAAAGUAAUCCGAGAUUAAACUAGUAAAUUUAAGUGAAAAAUAUAUAAGAAUGGUUGUUAUUAUAUCUUGAUCCAAAAUCUUAAGAUAUAUGUAACGAAAUUAUAAUAAAAUCUUAAGCAUGAUUUAUAUUUAAGGUGCUUGCAAAUUCCUCUCCAUAUUCAACAAUCAUUGUCAAAUGAAGAAUCAUUUAUUUAUCUUGGUAGCCCAUCUAGUAAAAAGUUAUUAACUUUUUUUCUUCUUUUAUUGGUUUUUGGUACACUCAAAAGAAUGAUUCUCAUGAAGAUAGAGACAUGCAUUGCUAGCUUUAGAGUCACUUCUUAUGAGGAAUUGGAAGUAUCUUUUCAAAAAUAUCCUUUAUAGUUUUAUUGUGUAGCUUAUCUAAGAUUUCCCGGGAUUCAUUUCCAUGUGCCACAAAGCUUCAAUUAACUACGUGUCCUUAAAUCCCUCACCCUUCUAGAGGGGUCUC
Lupinus albus (white lupine) is the source of this 1506-nucleotide non-coding RNA. NCBI's taxonomy places the organism in Eukaryota, Viridiplantae, Streptophyta, Magnoliopsida, Fabales, Fabaceae. The record is from the annotation of a GenBank genome assembly.